Molecule: long non-coding RNA, 1582 nt
Organism: Egretta garzetta (little egret)
Lineage: Eukaryota; Metazoa; Chordata; Aves; Pelecaniformes; Ardeidae
Exons: 3
Source: RefSeq, a predicted model, not a curated record
UCCUGCCUCAGUUCGACAAGAGUUAGCAAAACAUUUGGGCGCUACCUAUCAAUUUGAUUCUCUGGGCUACUCAGCAAUCUAGGCAAUUUUUACGCAGCAUCUUACCUACCAAGAUUCCCUUAACCCCUUCUCUCACCCCUAGGGCACCGCAGGCGGCUUCCCGGGGGGCCCCGGGGCGCAGGGCGGCGCUGGCUCUUCCCGCGCGAGGGAAGGUGCCGUUUCUGCUCGGAGGUCGCCUUUUCCCCAGGGCUUGGCUGCCCACCGAGGGGUUUCUGCGAAAAAAACCACGCUCUCGGCGUCCGUCACCUGCCAAAUAAAGAAGCUGGAACAGCCUAUCCGCAGCAAACCUGACAGGAUCUCUGCUACAUCGCGAGCGCUGGGUUGAAGAUGUGCAUCCAGACGUCUCCUCCCGCGCACAGAACAUGGUAUUUAGUCGGUGCCCAGCUCCUCUGCGUUGUAGGGAAGCCACUGUACAGCUGCCAGUCUCUGCAGCGGGCCGCUGGCGAGAAGGCCGUUUCUCAGCUCACGACUGUAGAAGAGGCUCCUUCCUCUCCACUUCCAGAAUUAGGAGCUGCUUUGUCGUGCUGCUCCGAUGCUCUCAGGACAUCUAAGAGUUCAGCAAGAGAAAUGAAGAGAUGAAAUGCCUCUCAAUCCCCAUGGCACAGGUGGACCUUGGCAGGUUGUUACAGAAUGCAAAGUCAUUGUCACAGCUGCUACUGAAGCUAUUCUGGGUGAACAUACAGUGAAUAUACCGCGGAGUCAGGCAAAGCUACCGAGCUCCACAAUUUCAGGUUCAAGGUCUGACAAGGAUGUUGCAGGAGAUGUUUGAAACAAGCAAAUAUAAAAAGGAAGCAGGGUGGGUGUUUUCUUGACAUCUUUCCCAGUCUUAAAAAGGGAGACAUAAAACCAUUCUUCAUGGCUGUGUUGGCUUUUAAAAGCCCUAAGUAAUAGGGGGAAAAAAAGCUUAAAAGCCUAAAAUCCUCUGGGGCAAUCACUCCCAUUCCACCACAGUGAAACAGUUAAGGGUCACUUUGACAAAGUGAAAAAUGUUAGAGUAUUUUGAUGUAAGACAAUUUUUCCUUUUUUUUUUAGGACAUCAAGCCUUGAUCCCAAAGCUUCAACUUAUGAGGAAUAAGCUAGGUGAUUUUUUUAUCAGUUAUUUCCAAAAAAGCACCCAAUUUAAAUACAUAGAACUGUCUAGUACAGGCUUGUAAACAGACAAUUAUUUAAUCUAGCAGCAACGAUCCUGGCCCUGAAGAUGUGCAAGACAAGAGACCGCAACACAGUUUUGGGACCAUUCUUUGGUUUGUUAACAGGGGCUAUGGGGGGCACAGAGGGUUUGCACCUGGGCCAUGCUCAGGCCACUCAACCCGUAUUGACUUCAGUCAGAAUUGACACAGAACAACCUUCACUGCCACCCAUCCUGAGCCUACAGAACUACCACAUUUGUACUCGUUCUUCUCUAAUUAAGAUUGAUCAUUAGUGAUACAGGCUACAGAUUGACACUCUUCAUUUCCUGGUUCUGUAUUUCUUAGCAAGAGAAAUAUUGUCCAUGAAUGUUCCCCAUUCACAGGCAGAGGUG